Non-coding RNA from Dipodomys ordii (Ord's kangaroo rat), 73 nucleotides. The record is from Rfam. NCBI's taxonomy places the organism in Eukaryota, Metazoa, Chordata, Mammalia, Rodentia, Heteromyidae.
GGGUGCAUGGCUCAAGUGGUGGAGCAUUUGCUUAGCAAACAUAAAGCUCUGAGUUCAAACCCAAGUACAGCCA